GGGGAUUUAGCUCAGUGGUAAAGCACUUGCCUAGCAAGUGCAAGGACCUGGGUUCAGUCCCCA
RNAcentral lists this transfer RNA (63 nucleotides) under Rattus norvegicus (Norway rat). It matches the Rfam family "tRNA". From Rfam's summary of the family: Transfer RNA (tRNA) molecules are approximately 80 nucleotides in length. Their secondary structure includes four short double-helical elements and three loops (D, anti-codon, and T loops). Further hydrogen bonds mediate the characteristic L-shaped molecular structure. tRNAs have two regions of fundamental functional importance: the anti-codon, which is responsible for specific mRNA codon recognition, and the 3' end, to which the tRNAs corresponding amino acid is attached (by aminoacyl-tRNA synthetases). tRNAs cope with the degeneracy of the genetic code in two manners: having more than one tRNA (with a specific anti-codon) for a particular amino acid; and 'wobble' base-pairing, i.e. permitting non-standard base-pairing at the 3rd anti-codon position. The record is from Rfam by way of RNAcentral. Lineage: Eukaryota; Metazoa; Chordata; Mammalia; Rodentia; Muridae.